RNAcentral lists this ribosomal RNA (460 nucleotides) under uncultured bacterium. Its description in RNAcentral is "partial 16S ribosomal RNA". It matches the Rfam family "Bacterial small subunit ribosomal RNA", at positions 338 to 795 of the family's 1533-position model. The record is from RNAcentral.
CCUACGGGCGGCAGCAGUGAGGAAUAUUGGUCAAUGGACGAGAGUCUGAACCAGCCAAGUAGCGUGAAGGAUGACUGCCCUAUGGGUUGUAAACUUCUUUUAUAUGGGAAUAAAACGUUCCACGUGUGGGAUUUUGUAUGUACCAUAUGAAUAAGGAUCGGCUAACUCCGUGCCAGCAGCCGCGGUAAUACGGAGGAUCCGAGCGUUAUCCGGAUUUAUUGGGUUUAAAGGGAGCGUAGGUGGAUUGUUAAGUCAGUUGUGAAAGUUUGCGGCUCAACCGUAAAAUUGCAGUUGAAACUGGCAGUCUUGAGUACAGUAGAGGUGGGCGGAAUUCGUGGUGUAGCGGUGAAAUGCUUAGAUAUCACGAAGAACUCCGAUUGCGAAGGUAGUUCACUGGACUGCAACUGACACUGAGGCUCGAAAGUGUGGGUAUCAAACAGGAGUAGAUACCCGGGUAGUC